CCUACGGGGGGCAGCAGUGGGGAAUAUUGCACAAUGGGCGCAAGCCUGAUGCAGCCAUGCCGCGUGUAUGAAGAAGGCCUUCGGGUUGUAAAGUACUUUCAGCGGUGAAGAUAAUGACGGUAACCGGAGAAGAAGCCCCGGCUAACUUCGUGCCAGCAGCCGCGGUAAUACGAAGGGGGCUAGCGUUGUUCGGAAUUACUGGGCGUAAAGCGCGCGUAGGCGGUUUAUGCAGUCAGAUGUGAAAUCCCCGGGCUUAACCUGGGAACUGCAUUUGAGACGCAUAGACUAGAGGUCGAGAGAGGGUUGUGGAAUUCCCAGUGUAGAGGUGAAAUUCGUAGAUAUUGGGAAGAACACCGGUGGCGAAGGCGGCAACCUGGCUCGAUACUGACGCUGAGGCGCGAAAGCGUGGGGAGCAAACAGGAUUAGAUACCCGUGUAGUC
RNAcentral lists this ribosomal RNA (440 nucleotides) under uncultured bacterium. RNAcentral describes it as "bacterial SSU rRNA". It matches the Rfam family "Bacterial small subunit ribosomal RNA", at positions 338 to 795 of the family's 1533-position model. The record is from RNAcentral.